AAGCAAUGGAAACAUUUUAAACGCUCUACCGCUCCCGUUCGUUAUGUUGCUGCUCCGACUGUGAUCUUACGUAUAAUAAAUUAAAUACCGUGCGAGUGUGCGUUCAAUUGUAAUUGGAGACGGAGACGCGCUGUGUUUAUUUAAUUGUAGUUUCGUGUCUUCGCUUACGUGUUUAUAAAUUGCCAAAAAUAGCCAAGUAAUAAUACAAA
Molecule: long non-coding RNA, 209 nt
Organism: Drosophila innubila
Lineage: Eukaryota; Metazoa; Arthropoda; Insecta; Diptera; Drosophilidae
Exons: 2
Source: RefSeq, a predicted model, not a curated record